CGCUUCUCAAGAAAGAGAGGGGCAGUCGGUCUGUACAUGCGUGAGGUGGCGAGAGGCGUGUCCAGGGGACGGCUAGUAGCGUGUGCCACCGUGGAAAUAUGUACAGACAAAGAAGACGCCCUCAAGAAAGAUGUGGUGAAGACAGUGUUAUGCACCACCACACCACCAUUACACUUCCUGUCUUGCUUGGUGAAUGAACAGAGCACCACUAACAUCACAUCAUUGCAUCACCACAUCACCACACCACCACCUCCUGUCCUGCCCCAGUGAAAUAGAACAUCACCACCACAUCACCACAUCAAGAGUCAGUGAUUGCCUGCAGCCAGCCCUAGCCUGACCCGCCAGACAUGUGUCCCAGGCCUUCCCCUAGCCUGUAGAGCCAUGUAAGCCUGCAGGUCAAGGUCAGGUAAAAAAAAAAACAGGCCGUAACGUAAAAGAUCAAGACAUUUACGAAGACUGUCUUUGAUGGGCUCAGGUCCUCCGUGCAGACCACCAACAAGCAAGAGAUUGACGAAAUACAGGUUGUGAAGACGCUGCAAGCUGAUGCCUUCAGAGAUCGCGAAGGUCCUCACCUUGUUGUAGGAGAGCUGACAACAUGUACCAGCCAGCAGCAACUCCCAUGCUAACAGGCUUCUCCCCCGCGGGUAUGUAGCACCUCUGGAGUCGCUCGAUGAAGAAGAGGAUGCUGGCGAGGCCUGUCGUGUUAGCCGGGAUGCGCCGGUACAGAGCUGUGUCCGUUGGGGUUGUGUAGGCAAGCAUCUUCUUGGCAAGGUCCUCGUAGGUGGCCGCAAACAGUUUACGGCUGUGGGAUGAGAACUUGUCUUGUGAAUGUGACGUUGGGAGGAGGGAAGCACAGGGGAAGAGGAGGACGAGGAGGAAGAGAGUUAAGAGUCACAAGAGGAGGAGGAAGGUGGAAAGAAAGAGGAAGGAGAGGAGGAGGAGGAGGAGGAGGAAGAUGGAGAAGGAAAGGAGAAAGAUAAGAAGGAAGGAAAUGCCGCAGAAGGAGAAGAGCAAUAAGAAAUUAGAAUUGACAGAGAAACCAGACAAGGGACUGCAUUUGAAGAAGCACAAGAACCAAGAAAUUACAUCAUUCAAUGAAAUGACAACAUAAUCUAAAAUAGAAAUAAAAAACGUCACAAGACAGAAUAGUGAGCUGCAUGCACUUAUCACAGAGUAUAAAGUCACUCCCUCAGAGGAAAAAGACAAGGAUGGCAUGUCUUCAUGUGAGAACUCAGAAGCUAAAUGUACAGAUACCAAGGGGAAAUUGCUGGGUCAAGUGGCUACACUGACAUCUGAGGUUAGCAGGUUGGAGAGUGAGUGCAGCAGUCUUCAGGUUCAGCUAGACUGUGAGAGGGAUAAGUAUAACAAACUGCUGGGAGAAUCUCUUGCUCAUGAAAAGUUGUCUGAAGAUGUCAUAACUGAACCAAAAGGAGAAACAACAGGAUUGGGAGGAACUGAGCUUUAACAGAAGCUGCAACAACUGCAGGAGGCUCACAGGGUCCUGGAGAGCAGGUUAACUUGCAGCAUGAAGGAGGUGGCUGAGCUGAGUGACAGGAAGUAGCAGCUUGAGCAUGCUGUAGUGCAUGAGGAGACAGAGUCCAUCGGUGACUACAUCACCAUCUACCAGUUGCAGCGAGGAGUGAUGAAGCAACAAGCUCGAGAACGCGAGUUAGACCUUGCCAGCCUCCAUCAUGAAUGAGAGGAAAUGAAGCAAAACCACUCUGCAGGAUUUGAUAUCAAAGCUGGUGCAGGAAAAGGAAGCAGAUCAUGACCUUCAGCAGCUCGAGAAGAUAAGCAGCGUCCUUAAGAGUCCAGUUGCUAUCUUUAGCAGUGUUGGAACCAGUGAGUCUGAGACACCCACCAGCAGUGGAAAGCUGGCUGACGAGCGCCUCAAGCACUCUGAAAAGGUGGAGCAACAACAAGAAACAGAAAAUUGCAUCCAUCAUUCUUUGCCUGAGGAGGGAAUUGAUGCUCUGUUGACCCUUCACACUGAUGUCCCUCAUGAGGAGGCAGAAUAUGAAUCCUACAGAACUUGCCCAUAGAAAAACCAAAACUGUUACUGCUGCCACACUGCCACCACUUCCACUGACACCAAAAGCCCAACUGUGCAGAGAAUCCUGGACCUCCGCAAUGAAAUGGAGUCCACCAGUCACCUGGAGCACUUUAGCCUCCAAAAGUUCCAUCCGUGUCCAUUGUGUUUGGGUAAACUUAUCACUGUAUAAGGGGACAAGUAUCAGUGUAUGGUUACUAUAUACUCAUUUGUACUUAAAGAUGUCAUGUCACAUCAUUCUCUCUCUCUCUCUCUCUCUCUCUCUCUCUCUCUCUCUCUCUCUCUCUCUCUCUCUCUCUCUCUCUCUCUCUCUCUCUCUCUCUCUCUCUCUCUCUCUCUCUCUCUCUCUCUCUCUCUCUCUCUCUCUCUCUCUCUCUCUCUCUCUCUCUCUCUCUCUCUCUCUCUCUCUCUCUCUCUCUCUCUCUCUCUCUCUCUCUCUCUCUCUCUCUCUCUCUCUCUCUCUCUCUCUCUCUCUCUUUCUUUCUUUCUUUCUUUCUUUCUUUCUUUCUUUCUUUUUGCAUAUUUUACUGCUUUACAUUCCUCCCCACAGUAUUUUUUCAUCUACUUUAUGACUGCAGUAGUUUUAUCAUCCCAGUGUAUGCCGUAUCCACUCUGAAACUGUAAUUCACCAAUCAGCUCAAAUGUGUCUCUGUUUUGAUAAUCAUUAAUUUGUUUCAGCUACACAACCACUCUGAUAAGGGACAAAAUCUACUUCACCAGUCAUCUAUGUCAUACAGUCAUAUAUAUUCAUACAUAUGACAAAAUACUCUUCCUAAGACAUUUCUUAUUUUCUCUUCUCAAGUGACCUGUCCAUCUAUCUAAGGUACCACAUAACAUUUAAAACUUACAAUAUUGCAUUUAAUUCAUGAACAUUUUUUUGUCUAUGUAGACUUGAAAUUGUAUUGGUUCCUGUGGAUGAGUGGGCCAUGCUGUGCUUUGUCAAGGAUGGUGUUUGGUAUUGUGAUGACUCUUGCCACAAUCAAGUGUCUCCCACAGAGUAGUGGAGUACCUAUGUAUGGUGUUGACCCAAGCUGUCCAGGUCUCAUCCAAUGCCUUAAUAUGAUUUAGAUGAUCAAAAUGGUUUAACUCACCAUUUAAUCAGCUGACUGAUUUGAAUGGAGAAGUAUGUAAUGUGUUGUAGCCUAACCAUCCCUGCCAGCAUGGUCAGACUCUUGGUAGUAACCUGAAAUGCUCCUAGGUAGUGAGUAUCAUUGCACAUAAUGAUCUUUACUUUGUCAGUAAUUCAAUGAUACUGAAUAUUACUCUACUGGAUUUUGCUCAGCACUGCUUGGUAACUUUUGGCCAUAAUCCCAGGUCUGGAAUGAUAUGAAGCCAUGUUUUUACAUUCCAUAUGAGACAGGCAAGCACUAUGCUUUGCCUGACUGAUACCUGUACUUUGCAUUUAUGACCCCAGGUAGUUCAUCACUCUCUCUCUCUCUCUCUCUCUCUCUCUCUCUCUCUCUCUCUCUCUCUCUCUCUCUCUCUCUCUCUCUCUCUCUCUCUCUCUGUUUGGAAUUAUACUGUAUAUUAGGAAAUAUCAUUAAAGAGUGUGUGUGUAAAAAGUGUUUGCAUUAUUGUGCAUUUGAUGUUGGUUUCAUGAUUUAUAAAGAUUGCUAUUUUUAAUAAAGUUAUUGAAAUUGUUA
This is an RNA transcript of Scylla paramamosain (green mud crab), 3693 nucleotides long. RefSeq lists it as uncharacterized. The record is from RefSeq and is a predicted model, not a curated record. Lineage: Eukaryota; Metazoa; Arthropoda; Malacostraca; Decapoda; Portunidae. The transcript is spliced from 13 exons.